GUAGGGAAUAUUGGACAAUGGGCGGAAGCCUGAUCCAGCCAUGCCGCGUGGAGGAUGACUGCCCUCUGGGUUGUAAACUCCUUUUGUACAGGAAGAAACCUCCUCAUUUAUGAGUGAGCUGAUGGUACUGUAAGAAUAAGCACCGGCUAACUCCGUGCCAGCAGCCGCGGUAAUACGGAGGGUGCAAGCGUUAUCCGGAAUCACUGGGUUUAAAGGGUACGUAGGCGGUUAAUUAAGUCAGUAGUGAAAGACUGUCGCUCAACGACGGAUGUGAUAGUGAUACUGGUUAACUUGACUCAGGUUAGAGUUGGCGGAAUGGGUCAGGUAGCGGUGAAAUGCUUAGAUAUGACUUGGAACACCGAUAGCGAAGGCAGCUGACUGAGCCUUGAUUGACGCUGAGGUACGAAAGUGUGGGUAGCGAACAGGAUUAGAUACCCGAGUAGUCC
RNAcentral lists this ribosomal RNA (446 nucleotides) under uncultured bacterium. Its description in RNAcentral is "partial 16S ribosomal RNA". It matches the Rfam family "Bacterial small subunit ribosomal RNA", at positions 354 to 796 of the family's 1533-position model. The record is from RNAcentral.